This 253-nucleotide ribosomal RNA is filed under the name uncultured bacterium. RNAcentral describes it as "partial 16S ribosomal RNA". It matches the Rfam family "Bacterial small subunit ribosomal RNA", at positions 524 to 776 of the family's 1533-position model. The record is from RNAcentral.
UACAGAGGGUGCAAGCGUUGUUCGGAAUUAUUGGGCGUAAAGCGCGUGUAGGCGGCUUUGCAAGUCGGGUGUGAAAUCCCUCGGCUCAACCGAGGAAGUGCGCCCGAAACUGCAGAGCUUGAGUACCGGAGAGGAUGGCGGAAUUCCCCAAGUAGAGGUGAAAUUCGUAGAUAUGGGGAGGAACACCGGUGGCGAAGGCGGCCACCUGGACGGUAACUGACGCUGAGACGCGAAAGCGUGGGGAGCAAACAGG